RNAcentral lists this ribosomal RNA (585 nucleotides) under uncultured bacterium. RNAcentral describes it as "partial 16S ribosomal RNA". It matches the Rfam family "Bacterial small subunit ribosomal RNA", at positions 355 to 1375 of the family's 1533-position model. The record is from RNAcentral.
UGGGGAAUUUUGGACAAUGGGCGCAAGCCUGAUCCAGCCAUGCCGCGUGCGGGAAGAAGGCCUUCGGGUUGUAAACCGCUUUUGUCAGGGAAGAAAUCUUCUGAGUUAAUACCUCGGGAGGAUGACGGUACCUGAAGAAUAAGCACCGGCUAACUACGUGCCAGCAGCCGCGGUAAUACGUAGGGUGCAAGCGUUAAUCGGAAUUACUGGGCGUAAAGCGUGCGCAGGCGGUUUUGUAAGACAGAGGUGAAAUCCCCGGGCUCAACCUGGGAACUGCCUUUGUGACUGCAAGGCUUGAGUGCGGCAGAGGGGGAUGGAAUUCCGCGUGUAGCAGUGAAAUGCGUAGAUAUGCGGAGGAACACCGAUGGCGAAGGCAAUCCCCUGGGCCUGCACUGACGCUCAUGCGCGAAAGCGUGGGGAGCAAACAGGAUUAGAUACCCUGGUAGUCCACGCCCUAAACGAUGUCAACUGUUGUUGGGAAGGUUCCUUCUCAGUAACGUAGCUAACGCGUGAAGUUGGACCGCCUGGGGAGUACGGCCGCAAGGUUGAAACUUAAAUGAAUUGACGGGGUCAUAGCUGUUUCCU